This is a long non-coding RNA of Phacochoerus africanus (Common warthog), 655 nucleotides long. RefSeq lists it as uncharacterized. The transcript is spliced from 4 exons. Lineage: Eukaryota; Metazoa; Chordata; Mammalia; Artiodactyla; Suidae. The record is from RefSeq and is a predicted model, not a curated record.
UUUUUCCCCCCCCUCCAUCCCCUCCCGCCCACAGGGUUGGGGUUUCUGGCUGUGAGUGAGGUUUCUGGAAAUCUCUGUGGAAAGUUAAUGGUAUCUCUCCUCUAUAGGGCUAAGAGGAGUCCCAGGCUUGAUAACACGCUGAACAAAGACCUGUCAUGGAACAGACUCUUGCUGAGAUUUAAACUGGAUAGUUUGUGGAUGUGGAGCUGGGCCAGGAUACACAGAGAAAUGUGGGGGAAGAAUCAAGAGAUCUUGGUGCUGCUCUCAUUUGCUGUGUGAUGCUGAUCAAGCAACAUAUUGUCUUUAGAAAUCCUGUUAUAAAAUUUGUCCAACAGAACCUACCUUGCAGAAUUACAGAGAAGAAAAAGAAGAGAGUUCUAUAAACCUGAAGAGCGAUCUUUUCAAAAAAUCAUCAGAAGGAAGGAAUUUGUAGAAAUAAAACUGGAAACAUCCAGAAUCUUGAUGGUGUGCCAAACCAAAUGUCAACUGGAGCUCGACCAAAAACUAAAGUGCUCUCCAACAAACGAAGCAAAGAGAGAGCAGGUAAGUCUCUCUGAUGAAGUCUGUUUUACUGUUUGUUUAUAAAAGUUGUUUGAAGAGCCUUGCCUAGUCACUGUGGGUUUAAGCACAACACAAAUCUUGCUGAAAAAAAUGA